RNAcentral lists this long non-coding RNA (1488 nucleotides) under Homo sapiens (human). RNAcentral describes it as "HSALNT0035198". Lineage: Eukaryota; Metazoa; Chordata; Mammalia; Primates; Hominidae. The record is from RNAcentral.
UUUGGUGUCGUCAGUGCACACGAGGGGGCUGGACUUCGCCUGUGAUAUCUACAUCUGGGCGCCCUUGGCCGGGACUUGUGGGGUCCUUCUCCUGUCACUGGUUAUCACCCUUUACUGCAACCAGGAACCGAAGACGUGUUUGCAAAUGUCCCCGGCCUGUGGUCAAAUCGGGAGACAAGCCCAGCCUUUCGGCGAGAUACGUCUAACCCUGUGCAACAGCCACUACAUUACUUCAAACUGAGAUCCUUCCUUUUGAGGGAGCAAGUCCUUCCCUUUCAUUUUUUCCAGUCUUCCUCCCUGUGUAUUCAUUCUCAUGAUUAUUAUUUUAGUGGGGGCGGGGUGGGAAAGAUUACUUUUUCUUUAUGUGUUUGACGGGAAACAAAACUAGGUAAAAUCUACAGUACACCACAAGGGUCACAAUACUGUUGUGCGCACAUCGCGGUAGGGCGUGGAAAGGGGCAGGCCAGAGCUACCCGCAGAGUUCUCAGAAUCAUGCUGAGAGAGCUGGAGGCACCCAUGCCAUCUCAACCUCUUCCCCGCCCGUUUUACAAAGGGGGAGGCUAAAGCCCAGAGACAGCUUGAUCAAAGGCACACAGCAAGUCAGGGUUGGAGCAGUAGCUGGAGGGACCUUGUCUCCCAGCUCAGGGCUCUUUCCUCCACACCAUUCAGGUCUUUCUUUCCGAGGCCCCUGUCUCAGGGUGAGGUGCUUGAGUCUCCAACGGCAAGGGAACAAGUACUUCUUGAUACCUGGGAUACUGUGCCCAGAGCCUCGAGGAGGUAAUGAAUUAAAGAAGAGAACUGCCUUUGGCAGAGUUCUAUAAUGUAAACAAUAUCAGACUUUUUUUUUUUAUAAUCAAGCCUAAAAUUGUAUAGACCUAAAAUAAAAUGAAGUGGUGAGCUUAACCCUGGAAAAUGAAUCCCUCUAUCUCUAAAGAAAAUCUCUGUGAAACCCCUAUGUGGAGGCGGAAUUGCUCUCCCAGCCCUUGCAUUGCAGAGGGGCCCAUGAAAGAGGACAGGCUACCCCUUUACAAAUAGAAUUUGAGCAUCAGUGAGGUUAAACUAAGGCCCUCUUGAAUCUCUGAAUUUGAGAUACAAACAUGUUCCUGGGAUCACUGAUGACUUUUUAUACUUUGUAAAGACAAUUGUUGGAGAGCCCCUCACACAGCCCUGGCCUCUGCUCAACUAGCAGAUACAGGGAUGAGGCAGACCUGACUCUCUUAAGGAGGCUGAGAGCCCAAACUGCUGUCCCAAACAUGCACUUCCUUGCUUAAGGUAUGGUACAAGCAAUGCCUGCCCAUUGGAGAGAAAAAACUUAAGUAGAUAAGGAAAUAAGAACCACUCAUAAUUCUUCACCUUAGGAAUAAUCUCCUGUUAAUAUGGUGUACAUUCUUCCUGAUUAUUUUCUACACAUACAUGUAAAAUAUGUCUUUCUUUUUUAAAUAGGGUUGUACUAUGCUGUUAUGAGUGGCUUUAAUGAAUAAACAUUUG